Molecule: long non-coding RNA, 1278 nt
Organism: Ctenopharyngodon idella (grass carp)
Lineage: Eukaryota; Metazoa; Chordata; Actinopteri; Cypriniformes; Xenocyprididae
Exons: 4
Source: RefSeq, a predicted model, not a curated record
GACAUUGGCGAUAGCCAAGGGCGCCAUCUCUUGGCGGCGCCAAAUUUCUGUGUGCGCCAUAUACCUGUUCCUCGUUAUGCCACGAGCAUUAAUAAAAUUUUGCUGAUAAAUCCUCUGACGAGUGAGAUUACCGAAUACCUAGUUGAAAAACACUGUUUUCCUGACAUUUUUAAAAAAUAAAAAUAAAACAAACGUCUGCUGUUCAAGAAUGAAUAAUUCUUUCCAAUCGAUUCUUUGCAAUGAAUCUCAUCAAAUGGGUGAACAUGAAUCAUUUUUCAUGAAUCGGUCUUAAUCAUUCGAACAUCUCACUCGCACACUGAAUCGUUUGGAGCGGUUUUCUGUAAAACUGUAGAACAACAAACCGUUUAGAACACAGUAAACUAUACUCGUUACUUACAAUAAACUGGACUAAACCUACAAAUCCAUCCAAUCGCCAAAGACGAGUAGGGUCUUUGUGAAGAUCAACUGCACGUGCAGCUUAUGAACAACUGUGUACUACAGACUAUUUGUUCACCGCUGAUCAGCUUGUGAAAGCACAUGCCGUCAUGUACGCUGAAUUUGUCCGUCCCUGGACCAAUGAGUAAUACAAGUCUCAGGGGUUUUGAGAAGGGAUUGCCUCAUAGCGUAUGUUCUGCCUCCUCCUUCCACAGCCACGCCUGUGAGAACAGAAAAUAACAUGUAAAUGUUCCUUCAGCACAAACAGAACGUCUCUGUGGCCGUCGGCCAUGGCUUGGGCACCGUUCCGGCAUCAUGAGGCUCAGGGGUGCCUGUUGUCUAAGCCGAGCGUGUGCAGAUGUUUGACUUUAGCAGUUAUCUCAGGAGGAAGGACUCUCCAUGUGCUAAUAAAACAUCCUCACCACACCCAACAAAAAGCGUAACCUCAGCAGUAUGGGAAACAAAAUGUACGACUGACAUUCAAUGGAGUAAAGAAACAAGAAUGUGAAAAAAAUACACAAUACUGUACACACAUACUGUAUGUGUUUGUAUAUCUGCUUUUACACUCAGAGGAAUUUGAUUGCAUUAAAACAAAAUAUUAAAUCAAGUGGCAUUUAUUUUAAAUAAAGUUAACACAAUUUGUAAAAGAACAAUUAUUUAAAAAAAAAUCAAGACAUUUUUUUUUUCUUUUUUUUCUUUAUUUUACAAAGCUGAUUCAAAAGAGUAAUUAGUUAAAAAAGGAACUGAUUCAAAAUAAUUAUUUGGUCAAAAAAAUAACCAGUUCAAAAGAACAAUUUGUUUAAAAAAGAUCUGAUUUAAAGGGGUGGUUGAUUAUGAUUUCAC